This 650-nucleotide ribosomal RNA is filed under the name uncultured bacterium. RNAcentral describes it as "bacterial SSU rRNA". It matches the Rfam family "Bacterial small subunit ribosomal RNA", at positions 8 to 703 of the family's 1533-position model. The record is from RNAcentral.
AGAGUUUGAUCAUGGCUCAGAACGUACGCUGGCGGCACGCCUAACACAUGCAAGUCGAACGAAGUAGCAAUACUUAGUGGCGGACGGGUGAGUAACAUGUGGGUAUCUACCCUUUGGCCUGGAAUAACACGAGGAAACUUGUGCUAAUACCGGAUAAGUCUUUACGGAGAAAGCUUUAUGCACCAUUGGAUGAGCCCGCACUUGAUUAGUUUGUUGGUAGGGUAAUGGCCUACCAAGACUAUGAUCAAUAGCUGAUUUGAGAGGAUGAUCAGCCACAUUGGGACUGAGACACGGCCCAAACUCCUACGGGAGGCAGCAGUGGGGAAUCUUGCACAAUGGAGGAAACUCUGAUGCAGCGAUGCCGCGUGAGUGAAGAAGGCCUUUGGGUUGUAAAGCUCUUUCGUCGGGGAAGAAAAUGACUGUACCCGAAUAAGAAGGUCCGGCUAACUUCGUGCCAGCAGCCGCGGUAAUACGAAGGGACCUAGCGUAGUUCGGAAUUACUGGGCUUAAAGAGUUCGUAGGUGGUUGAAAAAGUUGGUGGUGAAAUCCCAGAGCUUAACUCUGGAACUGCCAUCAAAACUUUUCAGCUAGAGUAUGAUAGAGGAAAGCAGAAUUUCUAGUGUAGAGGUGAAAUUCGUAGAUAUUAGAAA